GUUUUAUAUGUGAUGGUUACAGCUAAAAUCCUCGGAGUGUUGUAACCUGAAGGCUGAAAAC
Lepisosteus oculatus (spotted gar) is the source of this 61-nucleotide regulatory RNA element. It matches the Rfam family "Selenocysteine insertion sequence 1". Rfam says of the family: The incorporation of selenocysteine into a protein sequence is directed by an in-frame UGA codon (usually a stop codon) within the coding region of the mRNA. NCBI's taxonomy places the organism in Eukaryota, Metazoa, Chordata, Actinopteri, Semionotiformes, Lepisosteidae. The record is from Rfam.